GAUGAACGCUGGCGGCGUGCCUAAUACAUGCAAGUCGAGCGAACAGACGAGGAGCUUGCUCCUCUGACGUUAGCGGCGGACGGGUGAGUAACACGUGGAUAACCUACCUAUAAGACUGGCAUAACUUCGGGAAACCGGAGCUAAUACCGGUAAAUAUAUUGAACCGCAUGGUUCAAUAGUGAAAGACGGUUUUGCUGUCACUUAUAGAUGGAUCCGCGCCGCAUUAGCUAGUUGGGAAGGUAACGGCUUACCAAGGCAACGAUGCGUAGCCGACCUGAGAGGGUGGUCAGCCACACUGGAACUGAAACGCGGUCCAGACUACUACGGUAGGCAGCAGUGGGGUAUCUUCCACAAUUGGCGAAAGCCUGACGGGACAACGCCGCGUGAGUGAUGAAAGUCUUCGGAUCGUAAUACUCUGUUAUUAGGGAAGAACAAAUGUGUAAGUAACUAUGCACGUCUUGACGGUACCUAAUCAGAAAGCCACGGCUAACUACGUG
This 497-nucleotide ribosomal RNA is filed under the name uncultured bacterium. RNAcentral describes it as "partial 16S ribosomal RNA". It matches the Rfam family "Bacterial small subunit ribosomal RNA", at positions 28 to 507 of the family's 1533-position model. The record is from RNAcentral.